This is a non-coding RNA of Peromyscus maniculatus bairdii (prairie deer mouse), 574 nucleotides long. NCBI's taxonomy places the organism in Eukaryota, Metazoa, Chordata, Mammalia, Rodentia, Cricetidae. The record is from RefSeq and is a predicted model, not a curated record.
CCAUCCGUUCUCCUUGCUCACAGAGGCGCUGUCGCAGCCUCGCUGACCUACUUUUUGACCUCACGAACCAGUUUGCUCUGUACAUGCCGAGUUACAGCACCCGUCUUCAAGGGGGCUUUGGUUUCCUGUCAGCAACAUGGCAGAGCCACACACAGAUCUUAAGUUUUUGGAGCUCACAUUGUGCCUGUGGUGGGAGGCAACGCACCCUCGUCACCGCGUUGGUGUCUGAAUUGAAGGUUACAGUCGUCUGCGGUUGGCUGCGUGAAGGAAAAGUGUGCAGAAGCCUACCAGACCUGCACAUCCGCAAAAAGCCCUGCCACAGGCAAUGUUUGAGAAGUCCGUUGAACUGGGAGCUCAGUCAGCCCGCUGCUUUGCCUGACUACCUGCUGUGGCAGAUCUGUGAGCACUUGAAAGGUCCCUAGCUUCAAAUCCAAGGGCUAGUCCAAGGUGGGGAUGCAGUAAAGCGUAAGUAAACAGCUGUCGCUGUGUUGGGAAAUUCGGAGAGCUUUUGCCUGCUUGUCCAGUCGGUUAAGUGACUCAUCUGGUAAACGUUUUCAGUCUGAACUAAAUGUGC